GCCAGGUGUGGUGGCGUGUGCCUGUAGUCCCAGCUACUCAGGAGGCUGAGGCAGGAGGAUGGCUUGAGCCCAGGAGAUUGAGGCUGCAGUGCGCGGUGAUCACACCACUGCACUCCAGCCUGGGUGACAGAGCAAGACCAUGUCUCAG
Pongo abelii (Sumatran orangutan) is the source of this 148-nucleotide unclassified non-coding RNA. It matches the Rfam family "Metazoan signal recognition particle RNA". From Rfam's summary of the family: The signal recognition particle (SRP) is a universally conserved ribonucleoprotein. It is involved in the co-translational targeting of proteins to membranes. The record is from Ensembl. Lineage: Eukaryota; Metazoa; Chordata; Mammalia; Primates; Hominidae.